CCAGCAGCCGCGGUAAUUCCAGCUCCAAUAGCGUAUAUUAAAGUUGUUGCAGUUAAAAAGCUCGUAGUUGGAUUUCUGGCGGGAGCGACCGUGUCGGACUUGAUUGUCUGUUCAACGUGUUGCAUCCCGCCAUCCUCGCGGAGAACGUUGUUGUCAUUAAUUUGAUGAUAACGGUAUCCGCGUCGUUUACUGUGAAAAAAUUAGAGUGUUUAAAGCAGGCAAUAUGCUUGAAUACAUUAGCAUGGAAUAAUAAGAUAGGACUUUGGUACUAUUUUGUUGGUUUGCAUACCAAAGUAAUGAUUAAUAGGAACAGUUGUGGAUAUUCGUAUGAGCAUGUCAGAGGUGAAAUUCUUGGAUUUUGAUCAGACGAACUACUGCGAAAGCAUUU
This 388-nucleotide ribosomal RNA is filed under the name uncultured eukaryote. RNAcentral's name for it is "SSU rRNA". It matches the Rfam family "Eukaryotic small subunit ribosomal RNA", at positions 567 to 956 of the family's 1831-position model. The record is from RNAcentral.